This 253-nucleotide ribosomal RNA is filed under the name uncultured bacterium. Its description in RNAcentral is "partial 16S ribosomal RNA". It matches the Rfam family "Bacterial small subunit ribosomal RNA", at positions 524 to 776 of the family's 1533-position model. The record is from RNAcentral.
UACAGAGGUCCCAAGCGUUGUUCGGAUUCACUGGGCGUAAAGGGGGCGUAGGUGGUCGAGUAAGUCUGAUGUGAAAUCUUCGAGCUCAACCCGAAAAUGGCAUUGGAUACUAUUCGGCUGGAGGGUUGGAAGGGGGACUGGAAUUCUCGGUGUAGCAGUGAAAUGCGUAGAUAUCGAGAGGAACACCGGUGGCGAAGGCGAGUCCCUGGACAAUCCCUGACACUGAGGCACGAAAGCUAGGGGAGCAAACAGG